RNAcentral lists this long non-coding RNA (580 nucleotides) under Helianthus annuus (common sunflower). RNAcentral's name for it is "hypothetical non coding rna". Lineage: Eukaryota; Viridiplantae; Streptophyta; Magnoliopsida; Asterales; Asteraceae. The record is from RNAcentral.
CUCGUCAGUUACGAAGCUGGACUGAAACUGCACUGUCAUUCAAUGCUGGAAGCUUCUGCGCGCGCGUGCGCGCACAAGUCACUCUGGUGCGCGCGCCCAGGUCUGCACGCCAUGCGCGGUGCGUCCUCUUGGCUCACUGCCAUGCGCGCAUGCGCCACGUCACCAUGCGCGGUGCGUCCUCUUGGCUCAAGUCCAUGCGCGCGUGCGCCACGUCACCUGCGAGCCUAUACGAGCGCGCCACACAGUCGCGCCGUAUUGGCUCACUCUGGUGCGCCGCGCACGACACGACAGGACCCAUGCACCAUGCGCGCAACCGCGCGCCUCCGAGCCAUGUGUACUCGCGCGCGCAUGCGCAUGACUGCCACGUCAUGCGCCGCAUCACCUACCACUUGGUCCUUGCAACCCUUGUGCUCCACCACGUACACGCAGUCAAAAAUACAAAGGCGGCUCUCGAGCGACUCGCGGCGAUGCGAGCGUGCGCCAUCAAAGCGCCUCAUCGCCCACGCCACGCGCGCGAGCGUGUGCGAGUGCGAGUGCGAGUGCAAGUUAGGGUGCUCCGCACCCUUCGCGAGGACACUAG